Molecule: long non-coding RNA, 390 nt
Organism: Camellia sinensis
Lineage: Eukaryota; Viridiplantae; Streptophyta; Magnoliopsida; Ericales; Theaceae
Source: RefSeq, a predicted model, not a curated record
GGUAGGUGUAAUCCAUUUGAUUCAAAAACACAUUUUGCUGAGAAUGAAACUCCAGAGAGAGAAAGAGUAAGCUCGUGGACUUCAAGAAACAAAGAAAGAAGAAGAGAAAUUGAAGGGGAAAACUCAAGAAUUCAAGAUCUAGGUGAUCAGGCGCAUGACCUGGCUUAGGGGCGUCUGCCUGGAUUCUGUUUUUGUCAGCCAACCUAUGUGCCUCCCGUGGAGGUUUCGGAUAUGUCAAGUGGUUAUGGCUAUGUACAUAAAGUUCAAGUUUUGUUUUCUUGUUUUUGUUUAUUCUGUAUUUAGGGCCAAGUCCCUUUCUGUCUAGUCUCUCUCUAUAUAUAUGAUGAUGUGUAUAUGUAUGUAUAUAAAGUUUAAAAUUUUUCUGUCUCA